RNAcentral lists this ribosomal RNA (447 nucleotides) under uncultured bacterium. RNAcentral's name for it is "bacterial SSU rRNA". It matches the Rfam family "Bacterial small subunit ribosomal RNA", at positions 355 to 825 of the family's 1533-position model. The record is from RNAcentral.
UGGGGAAUAUUGGACAAUGGGCGAAAGCCUGAUCCAGCCAUGCCGCGUGAGUGAUGAAGGCCUUAGGGUUGUAAAACUCUUUCGCCGGGGAAGAUAAUGACGGUACCCGGAGAAGAAGCUCCGGCUAACUUCGUGCCAGCAGCCGCGGUAAUACGAAGGGAGCUAGCGUUGUUCGGAAUUACUGGGCGUAAAGCGCACGUAGGCGGGCUAUUAAGUCAGGGGUGAAAUCCCGAGGCUCAACCUCGGAACUGCCUUUGAUACUGAUAGUCUUGAGAUCGGGAGAGGUGAGUGGAAUUCCUAGUGUAGAGGUGAAAUUCGUAGAUAUUAGGAAGAACACCAGUGGCGAAGGCGGCUCACUGGAUCGGUACUGACGCUGAGGUGCGAAAGCGUGGGGAGCAAACAGGAUUAGAUACCCUCGUAGUCCCUGAGCGGGCUGGCAAGGCGCAU